UUCUUUUAGGAAAUUCAUAAUAUAGUUUGAUGAUGGAAUAAGGCUAGUAAGAUCUAUGUCUAAUUUUGAAUAAGUC
Molecule: small nucleolar RNA, 76 nt
Filed under: Prevotella sp. oral taxon 306 str. F0472
Lineage: Bacteria; Pseudomonadati; Bacteroidota; Bacteroidia; Bacteroidales; Prevotellaceae
Description: Small nucleolar RNA SNORD19
Source: RNAcentral